Molecule: ribosomal RNA, 451 nt
Filed under: uncultured bacterium
Lineage: Bacteria
Description: partial 16S ribosomal RNA
Rfam family: Bacterial small subunit ribosomal RNA
Source: RNAcentral
AACGAACGCUGGCGGCAGGCCUAAAACAUGCAAGUCGAGGGGGCGUAGCAAUACGUCACCGGCGCACGGGUGAGUAACACGUGGGAAUGUGCCCUUGGGUAAGGAAUAACGUUUGGAAACGAACGCUAAUGCCUUAUAAUGUAGCGAUACCAAAGAUUUAUCGCCCAAGGAUCAGCCCGCGUUAGAUUAGCUUGUUGGUGGGGUAACGGCCUACCAAGGCUCCGAUCUAUAGCUGGUCUGAGAGGAUGAUCAGCCACACUGGAACUGAGACACGGUCCAGACUCCUACGGGAGGCAGCAGUUAGGAAUAUUGGACAAUGGGCGAAAGCCUGAUCCAGCCAUGCCGCGUGAACGAUGAAGGCCUUAGGGUUGUAAAGUUCUUUUAGAGGUGAAGAUAAUGACGGUAGCCUCAGAAAAAGCUCCGGCUAACUCCGUGCCAGCCGCCGCCGUAA